RNAcentral lists this long non-coding RNA (246 nucleotides) under Danio rerio (zebrafish). Its description in RNAcentral is "lncRNA si:ch211-138m24.1 (ENSDARG00000097301.2)". Lineage: Eukaryota; Metazoa; Chordata; Actinopteri; Cypriniformes; Danionidae. The record is from RNAcentral.
UUUUAGUUUUUUUUUUUUUUUUUAGUUUUUUUAUACUUUUUUUUCUUUUCUUUUUUUUUUUUUUUUUUUUUACGCUGUUUUAAUUUGUGUUUUUUUUUUGUCUGUUUUUUUUUUUUUGCUAAGUUUAGUUUGUUUAAUUUAGUUUUACAGUCUUUUAUUUGUUUUGUUUGUUGCUUUGAUUUAGAUUUAUUUGCCUGUUUUGACGUACUUUCUUUUUUUACUUUUAUUUAAUUUUGCUAUUUAUUU